GGAAUCUUGUGCAAUGGACGAAAGUCUGACACAGCCACGCCGCGUGCGGGAAGAAGGCCUUCGGGUUGUAAACCGCUUUCAGCAGGGACGAAAAUGACGGUACCUGCAGAAGAAGGAGCGGCCAACUACGUGCCAGCAGCCGCGGUGACACGUAGGCUCCAAGCGUUGUCCGGAUUUAUUGGGCGUAAAGAGCUCGUAGGCGGUUCAGCAAGUCGGGUGUGAAAACUCUGGGCUCAACCCAGAGCCUGCACCCGAAACUGCUGUGACUAGAGUUCGGUAGGGGAGUGGGGAAUUCCUAGUGUAGCGGUGAAAUGCGCAGAUAUUAGGAGGAACACCGAUGGCGAAGGCACCACUCUGGGCCGAAACUGACGCUGAGGAGCGAAAGCGUGGGUAGCAAACAGGAUUAGAUACCCUGGUAGUCCACGCCGUAAACGAU
RNAcentral lists this ribosomal RNA (436 nucleotides) under uncultured bacterium. RNAcentral's name for it is "bacterial SSU rRNA". It matches the Rfam family "Bacterial small subunit ribosomal RNA", at positions 358 to 810 of the family's 1533-position model. The record is from RNAcentral.